This 450-nucleotide ribosomal RNA is filed under the name uncultured bacterium. RNAcentral describes it as "partial 16S ribosomal RNA". It matches the Rfam family "Bacterial small subunit ribosomal RNA", at positions 354 to 796 of the family's 1533-position model. The record is from RNAcentral.
GUGGGGAAUCUUCCGCAAUGGACGAAAGUCUGACGGAGCAACGCCGCGUGAGUGAAGAAGGUUUUCGGAUCGUAAAGCUCUUUCGUUAGGGACGAACGUGCUCUUUGUGAAUAAUGAGGAGUAAUGACGGUACCUAAAUAAGAAGCCACGGCUAACUACGUGCCAGCAGCCGCGGUAAUACGUAGGUGGCAAGCGUUGUCCGGAAUUAUUGGGCGUAAAGCGCGCGCAGGCGGGAUAUCAAGUCUGUCUUAAAAGUGCGGGGCUCAACCUCGUGAGGGGACAGAAACUGGUAUUCUUGAGUGUCGGAGAGGAAAGUGGAAUUCCAAGUGUAGCGGUGAAAUGCGUAGAGAUUUGGAAGAACACCAGUGGCGAAGGCGACUUUCUGGACGAUGUCUGACGCUGAGGCGCGAAAGCUAGGGGAGCGAACGGGAUUAGAAACCCCUGUAGUCC